This 492-nucleotide ribosomal RNA is filed under the name uncultured bacterium. RNAcentral describes it as "partial 16S ribosomal RNA". It matches the Rfam family "Bacterial small subunit ribosomal RNA", at positions 30 to 507 of the family's 1533-position model. The record is from RNAcentral.
AUUGAACGCUGGCGGCAUGCUUUACACAUGCAAGUCGAACGGUAACAGGCCUUCGGGUGCUGACGAGUGGCGCACGGGUGAGUAAUGCAUCGGAACGUACCCAGAGGUGGGGGAUAACGCAGCGAAAGCUGUGCUAAUACCGCAUGUGAUCUGAGGAUGAAAGCGGGGGACCGAGCAGCAAUGUUUGGCCUCGCGCCUUUGGAGCGGCCGAUGUCGGAUUAGCUAGUUGGUGGGGUAAAGGCCUACCAAGGCGACGAUCCGUAGCUGGUCUGAGAGGACGACCAGCCACACUGGGACUGAGACACGGCCCAGACUCCUACGGGAGGCAGCAGUGGGGAAUUUUGGACAAUGGGCGCAAGCCUGAUCCAGCAAUGCCGCGUGCGGGAAGAAGGCCUUCGGGUUGUAAACCGCUUUUGGCAGGAACGAAACGGUGUCCGCUAAUACCGGGCGCUAAUGACGGUACCUGCAGAAUAAGUACCGGCUAACUACGUG